Molecule: small nuclear RNA, 175 nt
Organism: Oncorhynchus tshawytscha (Chinook salmon)
Lineage: Eukaryota; Metazoa; Chordata; Actinopteri; Salmoniformes; Salmonidae
Gene: U2
Rfam family: U2 spliceosomal RNA
About the family: U2 is a small nuclear RNA (snRNA) component of the spliceosome (involved in pre-mRNA splicing). Complementary binding between U2 snRNA (in an area lying towards the 5' end but 3' to hairpin I) and the branchpoint sequence (BPS) of the intron results the bulging out of an unpaired adenosine, on the BPS, which initiates a nucleophilic attack at the intronic 5' splice site, thus starting the first of two transesterification reactions that mediate splicing.
Source: Ensembl
AAAACUUUUCCAAAAGAAAAAAUCUGUUCUUAUCAGUUUAAUAUCUGAUACGUCCCCCAUCGGGGGACUACAUAUUAAAUGGAUUUUUCGAACAGGGAGUCGGAAAUGGGGCUUGCUCCGUCCGCUCCACGCAUCGACCCGGUAUUGCAGUACCUCCAGGAACGGUGCACCCCUU